RNAcentral lists this small RNA (57 nucleotides) under Arabidopsis thaliana (thale cress). RNAcentral describes it as "ATSL201620". Lineage: Eukaryota; Viridiplantae; Streptophyta; Magnoliopsida; Brassicales; Brassicaceae. The record is from RNAcentral.
GCUCUUUCUUUUCCUUACAAAUCCCAAAACCUUUAUUAGACUUUUUAUGCUCCUUUA